GUUUUUGUAGCUUACUGGUCAGAGCACUGGUACGUAAAGACAGAGAUCCCGGGUUCGAUUCCUGACGAGGGUG
This 73-nucleotide transfer RNA is filed under the name Agrilus planipennis (emerald ash borer). It matches the Rfam family "tRNA". From Rfam's summary of the family: Transfer RNA (tRNA) molecules are approximately 80 nucleotides in length. Their secondary structure includes four short double-helical elements and three loops (D, anti-codon, and T loops). The record is from Rfam by way of RNAcentral. Lineage: Eukaryota; Metazoa; Arthropoda; Insecta; Coleoptera; Buprestidae.